This is an RNA transcript of Sarcophilus harrisii (Tasmanian devil), 1255 nucleotides long. It is a transcript of the gene named OCIA domain-containing protein 1 pseudogene, with no coding region annotated. Lineage: Eukaryota; Metazoa; Chordata; Mammalia; Dasyuromorphia; Dasyuridae. The record is from RefSeq and is a predicted model, not a curated record. The transcript has a single exon.
GCCCCUCCCUCCUGGGGGGGGCUGGCGUGCUCCGUUGCUGCCCCUCUCUGCUGCCGCCGCCACCGGGAAGCAAGAUGAAUGGAAGGACUGAUUUUGGAACAGAACAGAAUGCAGAAGUCUCACCACCACUCCCCAACAUUGGAAUGGAUUACAUACCAACAGAAGAAGAAAGAAAAGUCUUUGCUGAAUGUAAUCGAGAGAGCUUCUGGUACAGAUCUGUUCCCUUUUCUGCAACUAGUGUGUUGGUUACUCAGGGAUUAAUUACUAAAGGAAUUCUUUCCAGUCAUCCCAAAUAUGGUUCUAUCCCUAAAAUUGCAUUUGCUUGCAUAAUGGGAUAUUUUGCUGGAAAAAUUUCCUAUGUGAAAACUUGCCAAGAGAAGUUUAAACGACUUGAAAAUUCUCCUCUUGGAGAAGUUCUGCAAAUGGGACCAGCACGUCGAUUUGCAUCACCUGGGUAUUUUUCACAAAAGUCAGAAUUUGAUUCAAAAAUGCCUCCACAGUCAUCUUUUGGAACAUCUCCAACUUCUGAAAGCAGUGCAAAAGAAAGUGCUUUUCCUCCUUAUGAACCAGUCCCCUUCAGUGCUUCCAUGAAUGAAUCCUCUCCUACUGGUAUUACUGAUUAUAAUGCCCAAGGACCUGAUACAAUUGUGGAAGAAAGUCCUAAGAGAAAAGUUGUUACAUAUGAAGAAUUAAGGAAUAAGAACAGAGAAACAUAUGAAGUAACCUUGUCACAAAAAGGUGAUACCCCACUUCGGUCUGUGCAAAAAAGAGCACCAAAAAAAAAACAAGGGAAAGUAAACCAAUAUGGAGAUACUUGGGAUGAGUGAAAAAAAUUGUCAUCUACUGAAGAGCGUUUGCGUUGAGUCUACUGAAGAGAAUUUCAGCUAACCAGCGUCAUCUAGAUGGUCAUGAGCAUCUGCAGGAAAGUGCAGAAGCAGCUUCCAUAAGCAUAUUCAAAAGAAGAAACUUGGGUUUUUAGUAGUGUGGCUUAACAGAAGGUUUAAAAUUAAUUAUGGACUUUAAGGUUAAUAUUGUAUCAGUGUACAUACACUGCUUGGGAAACCAGAUGAAUGAAGGUACUGGACUGUGAUUUUAUAAUUUAUAAAAUCGUUUAUAAAAAUUGGUUAAACUACUCUUAAAGUAUCGUCAAAAGACUCUGAUGCACUGAAAUGGGCAUAGACAGAUCAAGUACUAUAUGUGUGUUUGUGCACAUAUGGGCAAAGCAACCAAAACGUUAAGUAUUAAAACCCCAUGU